AACGAACGCUGGCGGCAUGCCUAACACAUGCAAGUCGAACGAGACCUUCGGGUCUAGUGGCGCACGGGUGCGUAACGCGUGGGAACCUGCCCUUAGGUUCGGAAUAACUCCCCGAAAGGGGUGCUAAUACCGGAUAAUGUCUUCGGACCAAAGAUUUAUCGCCUUUGGAUGGGCCCGCGUUGGAUUCGCUAGUUGGUAGGGUAAAAGCCUACCAAGGCGACGAUCCAUAGCUGGUCUGAGAGGAUGGUCAGCCACACUGGGACUGAGACACGGCCCAGACUCCUACGGGAGGCAGCAGUGGGUAAUAUUGGACAAUGGGCUAAAGCCUGAUCCAGCAAUGCCGCGUGAGUGAUGAAGGCCUUAGGGUUGUAAAGCUCUUUUACCCGGGAUGAUAAUGACAGUACCGGGAGAAUAAGCUCCGGCUAACUCCGUG
RNAcentral lists this ribosomal RNA (433 nucleotides) under uncultured bacterium. Its description in RNAcentral is "partial 16S ribosomal RNA". It matches the Rfam family "Bacterial small subunit ribosomal RNA", at positions 29 to 507 of the family's 1533-position model. The record is from RNAcentral.